RNAcentral lists this ribosomal RNA (477 nucleotides) under uncultured Thiobacillus sp. Its description in RNAcentral is "bacterial SSU rRNA". It matches the Rfam family "Bacterial small subunit ribosomal RNA", at positions 900 to 1382 of the family's 1533-position model. Lineage: Bacteria; Pseudomonadati; Pseudomonadota; Betaproteobacteria; Nitrosomonadales; Thiobacillaceae. The record is from RNAcentral.
CUUAAAGGAAUUGACGGGGCCCGCACAAGCGGAGGAACAUGUGGUUUAAUUCGAUGCAACGCGAAGAACCUUACCUACCCUUGACAUGUCCGGAACUUGCCAGAGAUGGCUUGGUGCCCGAAAGGGAAUCGGAACACAGGUGCUGCAUGGCUGUCGUCAGCUCGUGUCGUGAGAUGUUGGGUUAAGUCCCGCAACGAGCGCAACCCUUAUCAUUAGUUGCUACGCAAGGGCACUCUAAUGAGACUGCCGGUGACAAACCGGAGGAAGGUGGGGAUGACGUCAAGUCCUCAUGGCCCUUAUGGGUAGGGCUUCACACGUCAUACAAUGGUCGGUACAGAGGGUUGCCAAGCCGCGAGGCGGAGCCAAUCCCACAAAGCCGAUCGUAGUCCGGAUUGUUCUCUGCAACUUGAGAGCAUGAAGUCGGAAUCGCUAGUAAUCGCAGGUCAGCAUACUGCGGUGAAUACGUUCCCGGGUCUU